GGAAACAGAACCCAGGCGUCCUGAGUCCCAAUCAGCCCCCAGACGUGGGUCCCUGCUAAUGCUUUGUGCUCGCUGGGUGCAGACGGCUCCGGGCAAGGGGAACGGGUCACUCAGCAAGGGCUGUUGCCCUCUCUCGGGCGUGUGAGCUGGAGGUAGAUUGUACAGGUCACACUGCUGCCUCUUCCGUGCUCUGUCCUCCUCCACCAGGACUACUUCCAACCUCCCAGCCAAUCAGCACCUCUCAAUCCAGCCCCUUCACCCAGACAGUGCCCAUCUGUCCACCUCUGCCAGGACUACUUCCAGCCACCCCACCAAUCAGCACUUCCCAAUGCCGCCCCUUCACCUGUGUGCUGGCCACCUCUGCCGGGACUACUUCCAGCCUUUUACUUUUGGUACCUUUACCCUGCAGGUUGAGGGAUAUGUAAAAUAGACCCACUCCUAUUUACAAACGUUUCUUAGCUAGGGUUUCUAGAAAUCGGGGGGGGGGGCAGCAGAGAUCGCCCCAGGAGAUGGGAGAAAGGCUGUGUGUCUGGAGCCCGCCCCCUCUCGCAAGAGUGUGUCUGGCCUCUGCCCCGUCUCGCAUGAGUGUGUCUGGCACCUGUCCCAUCUCGCACAAGUGUGUCUGGCGCCUGCCCCCUCUUGCACGAGUGUGUCUGGCCCCUGCCCCGUCUCGCACGAGCACAUCUGGGACCUGCCACCUCUCGCACAAUGCAUGUGGCAGGGAUCCGUUGUCUCUCGCAUAGGUAGGAUUCCCCAUCUCUCGCACGGGCAGACGGGAUCAGAUAGUCCAACUGUCAACCCGUUUAACAGUUCUGUCCAGCCCCCGAACGCAUCCACACCCCCAGUUCUACAACACGGCGUCCUCCAGAUGGCGUGCCCUGGUACGUACGGUGCAGAGUGGAGGUGCCGCACAGAGGACGCCGCUUGAUAGAGCCCGCAUUUCGGUCUGUUGCCCAUGGAGAAGCCACCCAGCUGGCACCCGGCCUGUGGCCCCGAAUGAGGCCCAGAACCUACCGAGUCCAGUGGCCAGAAGCAAUUUCGGCAGAGGUGUUUCCUGUCAGAAAAGGCCAUUUUGUCACAAUUGAAAGGUGGAUUUCCACCUCCUUUUUGACAGAAAAAUUUGGAAACUGAUCAAAAUGGAGCCAGUCCUUCUGCUGCGUACAAUUCCUUAUUCUCUUAAACUUUCACACGCCAUUACACUCUGUUGUAUACCUUUACAUUAUAUAUUCCCUUAUACUCGGAGAUUAUAUGAUUUAUUAUUCUAUUACCUUUAUCUCAUUAUUCUACUAUCUAGACUUUAGAUUAUGUUACAUUGACAGAGCUAUAAUCUGAAUAGAGAAAAUACCAUCUAAUAGAAAAGCGUAAUAGAACCUAAAUACCGAAAAAAUAAUGGAUUAUAUUAUUAUAUGAGGAUAUUUCCUCCUGUUUAAAUUGCAGCUCUAUGCAAGUGCAAGAGAAUCUAAACAGAGACAAAGAAUCGAUUGCACUUUGAUAUUCAAUUCUAUUUUCUCUGUUUAGAUUCUAUUAUACAAUUUCUCGUUCACCGCAGCAGAUCUUGUAUUGUGCUGUUUUACAUUCCUCUCGCUUUGCCAUCUCAUGCUGAGAUCUCGCCUAGCUCAUGUUUUCUGUCCUGUUCGAAGGCUUCAAACGUAUCAAAAGAGAGCGUCCGGCUGCUCCCGACCGUCCGGCGUUUUCCCGGAAUUUCCAUUCCACCAACAUUCCAAAAUCUCGACUCGUCGGCCCGUUUCGGGGCAAUUUGUCGGUUUGUCCUGACGCCCCAAAGGAGCAGGGACAGGAGGCCGAGUGGCAGGAUGGCAGCCAGAUCAGGAGGCCUUGGGAGGCCGCAGCUGAGGGGCGGGCUGUGGGGGGCAGCCAGAUCUCAGCCUGGAAGAUGAAUCGGGGGGGGGGGCAGUUUGCACCAUGGGAGAUGCUGCUUGGGGGAGGGACCUGGGGUCUCUAUUUGCACCGUGCAUGGGCAGGGGCUGUGUAGGGAUGCAGUGACCGCUCUGCCUUUGGGUCUCCUUUGCCAGGUGCCCCCUCCCCACGGAGGGACCCCCUCUCUCCCACGCCCAGAGUGGGCAUCAUGGCUGGUGGGAAGCAGGAGCUGAAGAGAAGCGUUUCCAUCAUCCCCUGCUUUGUGUUCGUGGAGCUGGUGAUCAUGGCGGGCACGGUGCUGCUGGCGUAUCACUUCGAAUACACCGACACCUUCCCCGUCCACAUCCAGGGCUUCUUUUGCUACGACAGCACCUACGCCAAGCCCUACCCGGGGCCCGAGGACACCAGCCGCGCCCCACCCGUCCUGGUCUACUCCCUGGUCACCGCCGUGCCCACGGCCAUGAUCCUGGUCGGGGAAUUGGCUGCAUUUUUCUGCUGGCCACGGCGGCGUAAGGAGAAAACCAUCAUCUCUGGGGAGUGCUGCUACUUCAUCCCGCUGCUGAGACGCAUCGUCCGCUUCCUGGGUGUCUAUUCCUUCGGCCUGUUCACCACCACCAUCUUCGCGAAUGCCGGGCAGGUCGUCACGGGGAACCAGACCCCCCACUUCCUCUCCGUGUGCCGUCCCAACUACACGGCGCUGGGGUGCCAGCUGCCUGGCCCCCAGUACAUCACCGACCGGGGGGCCUGUGCUGGGAACCCCACCCUGGUCACUGCAGCCCGCAAAGCCUUCCCCUCCAAGGAUGCUGCGCUCAGUGCCUACGCCGUGGUCUACACCGCCAUGUACGUGACGCUGGUGCUGGAGGUGCGGGGCUCCCGGCUGGCCAAGCCCACGCUCUGCCUGGCGCUGGCCGGCCCGGCUGCCCUAGUGGGGGUGGUGCGGGUGGCCGAGCACCGAAACCACUGGGCUGAUGUGCUGGCCGGAUUCCUGACCGGGGCCGCCAUCGCCGCCUUCCUGGUCACCUGCGUGGUCAAUAACUUCCGGAGCAAGGCGCCCGCGGCCCAGAAACCGGCGCCGGCCGAGAGUCUGGCCAGCGUCCCUGGCGUGGGGCUGCCCUGCGUCGAGAGCCCCCUGGAAAAGUUCAGCGUAGCCCAGCGGGUCAGGGACCCCCCAGAAGAGCAGGAUUUCUCCACUCUACUCACCCGAGGCCUGGAGAGGCAGCUAGCUCGCUCCCUCCGCAUGGGGGGCCACGCUGGGGCGGCUCGGCCCUACGAGUAAGUGCCACCCCUCUACGCCCUGCUGGAGACCUGCCGAGGGAGCGCGCCCUCCCCCCACCCCAGGCAGGAUCACAGAGCUGUGCUCCCAGAAAUCACCUGACCCCCAGCUGUGUCUCUUCCCCACCACCCCCGACGUGCUCAUCCCCUCCCGCUCCGUCACCAGCGAG
This is an RNA transcript of Dermochelys coriacea (leatherback sea turtle), 3317 nucleotides long. It is a transcript of the gene named phospholipid phosphatase related 2, with no coding region annotated. The record is from RefSeq and is a predicted model, not a curated record. The transcript has 8 exons. Lineage: Eukaryota; Metazoa; Chordata; Testudines; Dermochelyidae.